AGAGUUUGAUCCUGGCUCAGGAUGAACGCUGGCGGCGUGCCUAACACAUGCAAGUCGAGCGAAGCACAUGAAUACGAUUCUUCGGAUGAGGAUUCUUGUGACUGAGCGGCGGACGGGUGAGUAACGCGUGGGUAACCUGCCUUACACAGGGGGAUAACAGUUAGAAAUGACUGCUAAUACCGCAUAAGACCACAAAACCGCAUGGUUUGGUGGUAAAAACUCCGGUGGUGUAAGAUGGGCCCGCGUCUGAUUAGGUAGUUGGUGGGGUAACGGCCUACCAAGCCGACGAUCAGUAGCCGACCUGAGAGGGUGACCGGCCACAUUGGGACUGAGACACGGCCCAGACUCCUACGGGAGGCAGCAGUGGGGAAUAUUGCACAAUGGGGGAAACCCUGAUGCAGCGACGCCGCGUGAGCGAUGAAGUAUUUCGGUAUGUAAAGCUCUAUCAGCAGGGAAGAAAAUGACGGUACCUGACUAAGAAGCCCCGGCUAACUACGUGCCAGCAGCCGCGGUAAUACGU
This 520-nucleotide ribosomal RNA is filed under the name uncultured bacterium. RNAcentral describes it as "bacterial SSU rRNA". It matches the Rfam family "Bacterial small subunit ribosomal RNA", at positions 8 to 528 of the family's 1533-position model. The record is from RNAcentral.